Molecule: small RNA, 130 nt
Filed under: Salmonella enterica subsp. enterica serovar Heidelberg
Lineage: Bacteria; Pseudomonadati; Pseudomonadota; Gammaproteobacteria; Enterobacterales; Enterobacteriaceae
Also listed under: 3 other names
Description: RtT sRNA
Rfam family: RtT RNA
About the family: This family represents a bacterial cis-regulatory element known as RtT RNA. The exact function of RtT is unknown although it is thought that it may be involved in changing the cellular response in relation to amino acid starvation.
Source: RNAcentral
UAUCUCUCCGUACGGGAAGGAUGAGAAGCUUCGACUAAGGUUCGAUUCGAGCGCAGCGAGAACGCGUUGCCGCAGGCAACGACCCGAAGGGCGAAGCGCGCAGCGCUGAGUCAUCCUUCCCCCACCACCA